RNAcentral lists this ribosomal RNA (412 nucleotides) under uncultured bacterium. RNAcentral describes it as "bacterial SSU rRNA". It matches the Rfam family "Bacterial small subunit ribosomal RNA", at positions 505 to 916 of the family's 1533-position model. The record is from RNAcentral.
GUGCCAGCAGCCGCGGUAAGACGAACCGUGCGAACGUUGUUCGGAAUCAUUGGGCUUAAAGGGCGCGUAGGCGGGUGUUCAAGUCCGGGGUGAAAUCCUCCAGCUCAACUGGAGAAGAGCCCCGGAUACUGUUCACCUGGAGAGAGGUAGGGGCACAUGGAACUUCCGGUGGAGCGGUGAAAUGCGUAGAGAUCGGAAGGAACGCCGGUGGCGAAAGCGAUGUGCUGGAUCUUUUCUGACGCUGAGGCGCGAAAGCUAGGGGAGCAAACGGGAUUAGAUACCCCGGUAGUCCUAGCCCUAAACGAUGGGUACUGGGUUGCGGGUCAGACAUAGACUCGCAGCCGAAGCAAAAGUGUUAAGUACCCCGCCUGGGGAGUAUGGUCGCAAGGCUGAAACUCAAAGGAAUUGACGG